AAUCGCCCAACCCUAAAUCCCACACUUCGAUUACCGAUUUACCUCCACAAACUGGUGCGUUUAAGCUCGGAGGGAUGACCUUUCAGCCUUGAGAUCUCCUUUCAACUUCGAUUUCAACGAAGCAAGAAGCAACUUAUGGCAUAUUCGCAAGAUAAGGCCCCUCUUUCUCUUUUUCUUUUAUUUUUUAAACGCAAUGAUGAAUGAUUUGAAAGAAUAAAUCGCCAGGAAAUGUAAAAAUAAAUAAAUAAAUAAAUAAAUUCAAACAGAAAUAACCUUUGAAAAAUUUUGACUGCUUUCUUUGUAUUCAGUAUUCGUUCGUAAUCUUUUUGCACUAAUUUUCUUGGCCUUUUAUAAAUGAUUUACAGAAUAAAUAAAUAAAGAAAAUAAAGAAAAACUCUAAUUGUUGCUGUCAUCUGCUGGCUUAUUUCUGUUAUCAUUUCUGUUCUUGCAGGUUCUAAUACUGACGUGGAGGAGUACGGAGAAGAAAGCUACUCGUGGGGAGGCCGUCUGUGGGUGGCUCGAUUCCAUGGCUAACUGCAGUGCUAGCAUGUUCCAGAAACCCUAGGGGUUUCUGGUACUCUUGGAUUAGUGGGCCCCUUUAGGUUUGGGCUAGAAUUGGGCCAAAUUAGGUUUAUCUUAGAUGGGAUAAAUUUGGAUUUAUUUUAAUGUUUGGGUUUAGUUGGAUUUAGGCCCGAAAAUUUGUAAAUAGACACUGGACCUAUAAAUGAUUUGGUUUAUUAUUUAUUUCUGUUUGAUUUUAUUAUUUUUUUUGUUUUUGGUUUUUUUAGGUUUUUUAUGGGCCCAGGCAAAUUGGGCCUAUUACAACAUUUAAUUUGGUUUUAUUUUAGUUAUAAAUUAUUUAUUUACCUAAUUACAAUUAUAUCUCUUUUAAUUUACAUUCAAGUCUUUAACAUUUUCAAGUCUAAA
Molecule: long non-coding RNA, 927 nt
Filed under: Gossypium barbadense (sea-island cotton)
Lineage: Eukaryota; Viridiplantae; Streptophyta; Magnoliopsida; Malvales; Malvaceae
Description: long non-coding RNA (GBAR_LNC001537)
Source: RNAcentral